UUUGUCCUACGGGGGGCAGCAGUGGGGGAUAUUGGACAAUGGGGGAAACCCUGAUGCAGCAACGCCGCGUGAGUGAAGAAGUAUUUCGGUAUGUAAAGCUCUAUCAGCAGGGAAGAAGAUGACGGUACCUGAUUAAGAAGCCCCGGCUAACUACGUGCCAGCAGCCGCGGUAAUACGUAGGGGGCAAGCGUUAUCCGGAAUUACUGGGUGCAAAGGGAGCGUAGACGGUUAAGUAAGUCUGGAGUGAAAGGCCGGGGCCCAACCCCGGGACUGCUCUGGAAACUAUUGAACUUGAGUGCAGGAGG
Molecule: ribosomal RNA, 305 nt
Filed under: uncultured bacterium
Lineage: Bacteria
Description: bacterial SSU rRNA
Rfam family: Bacterial small subunit ribosomal RNA
Source: RNAcentral